CCUACGGGGGGCAGCAGUGGGGAAUUUUGGACAAUGGGGGCAACCCUGAUCCAGCCAUGCCGCGUGCGGGAAGAAGGCCUUCGGGUUGUAAACCGCUUUUAGCCGGGAAGAAAAGGCAAGGGAUAACACCCCUUGUUCUUGACGGUACCGGCGGAAUAAGCACCGGCUAACUACGUGCCAGCAGCCGCGGUAAUACGUAGGGUGCGAGCGUUAAUCGGAAUUACUGGGCGUAAAGCGUGCGCAGGCGGUUAAGCCCCGGGCUCAACCUGGGAAUGGCAAUGGAAACUGGCGGACUGGAGUGCGGCAGAGGGGGGUGGAAUUCCGCGUGUAGCAGUGAAAUGCGUAGAGAUGCGGAGGAACACCGAUGGCGAAGGCAGCCCCCUGGGCCGACACUGACGCUCAGGCACGAAAGCGUGGGGAGCAAACAGGAUUAGAUACCCCAGUAGUC
RNAcentral lists this ribosomal RNA (448 nucleotides) under uncultured bacterium. RNAcentral's name for it is "partial 16S ribosomal RNA". It matches the Rfam family "Bacterial small subunit ribosomal RNA", at positions 338 to 795 of the family's 1533-position model. The record is from RNAcentral.